RNAcentral lists this non-coding RNA (162 nucleotides) under bovine gut metagenome. The record is from RNAcentral.
CGUUGCGAGGCGGAAUCCGAAGGAAGGCGGGGGCGAAACCUUGACCCGAGGAACACGAACCGCAUAAGGCGGGUGCAGGGGGGUGAGACUGCGGAACAAGUCGAAGCCCGAUAUUUGCACGGAGCCUGCGGACGUAAAUGCGGCGGGCACAUGAGGCGGAGG